GGGUUGGAGCUGCCAGGGUGUGGGAACCACAACAUCCCCGUGCUGGGAUCACAUCCCAAGGGGUGACACCCCAGCCUUCCGUGGCUGCUGCGUGAGGGCACGGCAAUGACGGCGCUGCCCUUUGGUUUUGGGAAUUUCAACGUUUCCCGCCGUUUUGCCAGCAGGAAGCACCGGUGCCAGCCCGAAUGCCAGCCCCUCUGCAGCGCCCAGUCAGUCACCCGUGCCCCCAGCACCGCCCGGGCCGUCCCCAGAUGGAUCCAGGCCACUGGAGAUGGCUCCAACACCGGACACGGCCACGCUGGGAGAGGGGACAUCGCUGCCCGUCCCGCCCUCGGACCAUGCCACAGUUUCCAUCCGGUCCGUGGCCUCUUCUGUUGGACUCCUGGCGCUGCUGGCCAUCGGAACUGCGGCCGUCUGCUGCUGGAGGAGGAGGAGGAGGAGGAGGAGGAGGAGGAGGAAGUAAGUGCCAAACCCCAGCAAUGAGUUUUCCAAAGAGAAGCCUUGGGACGCCACUGAUGCUGCUCUUCCCCCCACAGAGGCGCCAGGCAGGGCUACGCCGUGACGGAGACGGAGACGGAGAUUCCCAUGGAGGGAAUUCGCUCUGGGAACCAGGAGGUGCCACCUCCUGUCAUUGUCCCCACGGGCUGAGCGCCCCCCCUGGGGACGCCGGGCGCACCCACCGUGCCGAGGGACGCCCGAGGAUGGAAUUCUGGAUGCUUCCCUGA
RNAcentral lists this long non-coding RNA (725 nucleotides) under Junco hyemalis (dark-eyed junco). RNAcentral's name for it is "lncRNA (ENSJHYG00000017387.1)". Lineage: Eukaryota; Metazoa; Chordata; Aves; Passeriformes; Passerellidae. The record is from RNAcentral.